CUGUGACACAAGGUGCCUGUGCCACAAAGGCCACCCCGGCAUGCCUGGAGCAGCCGAAGGCUCUGGGAAUGGCUGGAGCAGGGCCGGCCUUGGGGCUCGCAGCUGUUCUGGGUGUAAUCUGAGAUGACUGGCUCACAGUUAAGGGAACUGUGUGUGUCACAGUCUGGCAGUGUGCUGUCAUGUCCUGGAAGCAACGCCUCCUGUCUGUGCCCGAUCCUCAUGGUGAAAAUGCCAAAGGACCAGCAUGGAAUCCUUUCCAGAUGAGAGGAAAUAGCCUUGGAUCCCAGCAGGGGAGAAUCUUUUUAGAGAAAAUUCAGAAAGGCAAAGACUGGCAUGUCCUACAGCUGAGCUUUCCAUGGAAGCCACAGAAUUUGAAGGGAUAAUCCAUCAGUGAUGAGAAAGGCCUGAGAAUAAAGAGGCAACGAAAGCUGCUGGGGUAAGAUUCAAAGACAAAUUCCCAAACAUUUGGAGAUCUUACUGUACCCACAUGAUUCUGUUGUCGUCACAAAAGUUUACAGUGAUGUAACCCCAAAGACCUUUGCAAGGAUGCAGGAGUGGGUCAGUCUUAUAUCCUGAGCUCUGAAAAGUGGAUGUGCCCAAUUCCAUACAGUUUAGAGUUGGUAUCUAUUCUUGCUAUGAGGAAGCUUCCUAUCCUCCCUUAUUCUGGCACCAAUACAACCAAAUAUUCAUGACUAAAAUACUCUGCUGUUUGCAGCAGGUGGCAGUACCUGUCACAAUGCCAGAGGCAGUAAAAAUGGACCAUGAUACAAGAAAAACUACAUAGCUUUUAAUAUUUUCAGGGCAAAAAUACAAUUCAGAUAAUAAAAAAUACCAGAAAGCCCAGAGAAAUUCAUUCCAGCUGUACCCAUACAGUAUGUAAAGAUCCAAGAGCUUUAUGAUGUAACCUCUGGCUGAUGAAUUUUGAUUUAAUUGGUUGUCUGCAACUUGUACCAAAGGACCUUGCUGCAGCAGUCUGUAAUGAAUUUCCACUCACUGCAAUCACUGUCAUAACCUUACCCUACUCACAAAAGAAAUUCAUGGCCUGUUAGGCCUCUUUGAACCAAAGAGUUCUUAUUUUAAAGUUUUGUCUCCUACAGGGAGGGUUAAAAAUGUAGCACUGAGUAGUGAAUCCAUCUGGCACUUUUUUAUAAAGGAUAUACUGUGUGUCAUCCCCUUGAUUAUUUCUAGAUUUAAAUUUGCUCACAACCUUUGACAAGAGUUUUUUCAUGGGGAUAUUAUAUUGGCUUCUCUGCUUGUGUUCUAAAACAUUUUUUCCUUCUAUAUCCCUGUGGGAGUCUCAUCUGUCCUCUUACAGGUGCAUGUGCCUCCACCUGUGUUCUGGCUCUGCUUCCUACUUUGUCAAUCACCAAAAUAAUAAAAUCACCAAAAUAAUAAAAUCAAUAACCCAGCUGACCUGCUCAAAACUUUCCUCGAGUGAGCCUGAUUGUCAUGGGGAAUUUUCCCCUCUCCCCUGCAAUUUACUUAUUUAUUUUUAAGAUAUGCCUAAAGCUGGACCAUGUUGCAGUUAAUAGGUGACAAUGCUUUGAAAGACCAAGUCAGAAUUCACAAUUAUAUCAAAUAAGAAGUUUUUUAAAGAUCCAGGAAGGAAUUCAGCUUGGCAGAGAGUCCCAAAUUCACAAAUACCAAACGAGGGAGAGCAACUACCGUGAGUCAAGUGGCAGAAAAGGUCCCUGGGGUUAUAGGCAGACCACAAAUUUAAAACUAUGCUUUAAAAUUCUGUUUUAUACUAACACUGCAUUUUUUGCAGAGGAUGUAAAACCCAAUUACUCUGCUCUAGAGUGAUUAGUAAACUCUCAGAUGGGAUGCUGGCUGUCGUAUCCUGCAUUAAAGAAGAGUUAGACACAUCUCAGAGAGGGAACCAUUGCACUGUGGCAGGGAAAUACCUGUCUUGGGAGGUUUAAAUAACUUUAGCUAAUCUCAGUGCGUGGAAACAGACUGUAUCUCUCCUUGAGCUCUUUUUUUCAGCACUUUAUAGACUUAAAAUUAUACAUUCUAAAUCUAGAAGGUGUAAAAGUAGAGCAAAAUGUCCAGUAUUUCAGCUAUGGCUCCACUGUUUCAGGAUAAGUCCUGGCAGAUGCAUCCUGUGGUGUUGAAUUUUAACCUCUAAAACAUGGUUUCAAAUGUGGCAAGCUAAGGGACUACCUCUUGUCUCACACUCCACAGCUGUAAUUCAUAGCAGUGGAGAUGCUUCAAAGUAAAUUUAAAAUACCUACAGGCUGUCCCCUACUACAGUCAGAGAGCUCUGAUGCCUUAAUCUUUUAGGUAAGAAGCCAGCUUCCUCUAUUUUUCCUCUCACUAGGGUGGGGUAGGUGCAAGCCUGGAGUGAAUUGACUUUUCUUGCCUUCAGUGGGGACUGUGUGAGUUUUCUGACUGCUAUGAAGAGGCCUUUUAUAACUGUGAUGACUGAAGCAUGCAUUUAUUUGGUGUCGGGGGAAUUUUGUUCACUAGGAAUGUAUAGCUGAGUUCCUGAGGAGCACAGUUUAUUGUAUAAAAUCUGAAUAAACACACAUUAAAAGCA
This is a long non-coding RNA of Passer domesticus (house sparrow), 2539 nucleotides long. RefSeq lists it as uncharacterized. The record is from RefSeq and is a predicted model, not a curated record. The transcript is spliced from 3 exons. Lineage: Eukaryota; Metazoa; Chordata; Aves; Passeriformes; Passeridae.